GACUCUUAAAGGUGGAUCAUUCGGCUCCUGCAAUGGUGAAGAGUGCAGCUAGCUGUGAGAAUAAAUGUGAAUUGGAUGACAUUGAUCAUCAACACUUGGAACUCACUUGUGGCCCAGGGUUCCUCUAGGGUCUAUGCCUGUCUGAGCAUUG
Molecule: ribosomal RNA, 151 nt
Organism: Cricetulus griseus (Chinese hamster)
Lineage: Eukaryota; Metazoa; Chordata; Mammalia; Rodentia; Cricetidae
Rfam family: 5.8S ribosomal RNA
About the family: 5.8S ribosomal RNA (5.8S rRNA) is a component of the large subunit of the eukaryotic ribosome.
Source: Ensembl